This 18-nucleotide ribosomal RNA is filed under the name Saprolegnia parasitica. RNAcentral's name for it is "partial 28S ribosomal RNA". Lineage: Eukaryota; Oomycota; Saprolegniomycetes; Saprolegniales; Saprolegniaceae. The record is from RNAcentral.
UGGACCUGAUAUCAAACA